UACGAGGGGUGCAAGCAUUAUUCGGAAUAACUGGGCGUAAAGGAUAUGUAGACGGUUUUUUAAGUUCAUUGUUUAAGCCCCCAGCUUAACUGGGGAACAGCGGUGAAAACUGGAAGACUAGAGGAUGGAAGAGAGAAGUGGAAUUCUCGGAGUAGCGGUAAAAUGCGUAGAUCUCGAGAGGAACACCAAUGGCGAAGGCAGCUUCUUGGUCCAUUCCUGACGUUGAGAUAUGAAAGCGUGGGUAGCAAACAGG
This 253-nucleotide ribosomal RNA is filed under the name uncultured bacterium. Its description in RNAcentral is "partial 16S ribosomal RNA". It matches the Rfam family "Bacterial small subunit ribosomal RNA", at positions 524 to 776 of the family's 1533-position model. The record is from RNAcentral.